Scophthalmus maximus (turbot) is the source of this 873-nucleotide long non-coding RNA. RefSeq lists it as uncharacterized. Lineage: Eukaryota; Metazoa; Chordata; Actinopteri; Pleuronectiformes; Scophthalmidae. The record is from RefSeq and is a predicted model, not a curated record. The transcript is spliced from 6 exons.
AGAAAGAAAAGGAGACAAAGCGAAGGAGUUAAGGAGAGUGAAGAAGAGAGGAGGAGGACGGGGCAGCUGCAGUAAAGGCAGAGGUCUGUAGGUGCGAGCGGAGGAGUGAGGCAAUUUGCCACACCGGUCAUUGAAAUGUCAGUGGGAUACCUCAUCGGUCCUUGUUGGACACGUGGAAGAUAAGGCUUCAAAGAAACUCACCGCAAGAGUCAGAGAGAAAUUACGACAACCUGCAAUAUUCUACAUUGCCCUUGGCCCUAUGACUUGACAGAAGACACGGGUCAUUGAGCGGACCGAAGGGCUGCAGAGAACGCGGCUCCAGAAUGUGCUGCAUUUACAAGGCCAUGGCUAUUCCACAUCAAAGGGAGUGAAGUAAAACAUGAAGCAGAGGCCUAAUUUGAAAACAUGGAAUAUCAAUAGGCACUCGGGGCGGACUCGACAGGGGCAGUUCUGUGAUCUCUGCAGCACAUAUCGUGUCUUUGACUCAUACAGGAAAUGAACUUUGGCGUCGAAGAAAAACGCCUCGUACCAACCAAAGGUCCAACAGUGACACGGCCUCUCUUUCAGGUGUAGACCACAGCUGGGUCAACUCUGUCAUCUGACCUUGGAGUCCAGGUCAUCCUUCCACUUCAGCACGGCGUCGAACGUGGAGGCCCUCGUCACGUCAAACACCACAAGCGCUCCCACCGCCUCCCGGUAAUAGACACGAGUCAUGUUCCCGUAACGCUCCUGUCCUGAGAGCUGCAGCCGGAUCACAGUGUCGCUGUCCCACCUCAGCACCUUCAGGGCGAAGUCCACCCCGAUGGUGGCGCGGUAGUGCUGCGAGUAGAUCUGAUGGACGUAUCUCUUGAUGAUGGACGUCUUGCCCACUCC